Molecule: ribosomal RNA, 506 nt
Filed under: uncultured bacterium
Lineage: Bacteria
Description: bacterial SSU rRNA
Rfam family: Bacterial small subunit ribosomal RNA
Source: RNAcentral
AGAGUUUGAUCAUGGCUCAGAUUGAACGCUGGCGGAAUGCUUUACACAUGCAAGUCGAGCGGCAGCGCGGGGGCAACCCUGGCGGCGAGCGGCGAACGGGUGAGUAAUACAUCGGAACGUGUCCUUGAGUGGGGGAUAGCUCGGCGAAAGCCGGAUUAAUACCGCAUAAGCUCUGAGGAGGAAAGCGGGGGAUUCGCAAGGACCUCGCGCUGUUGGAGCGGCCGAUGUCGGAUUAGCUAGUUGGUGGGGUAAAGGCCCACCAAGGCGACGAUCCGUAGCUGGUCUGAGAGGAUGAUCAGCCACACUGGAACUGAGACACGGUCCAGACUCCUACGGGAGGCAGCAGUGGGGAAUAUUGCGCAAUGGGCGGAAGCCUGACGCAGCGACGCCGCGUGAGGGAUGACGGCCUUCGGGUUGUAAACCUCUUUCAGCUCUGACGAAGCGAGAGUGACGGUAGGAGCAGAAGAAGCACCGGCCAACUACGUGCCAGCCGCCGCGGUAAUACA